RNAcentral lists this ribosomal RNA (407 nucleotides) under uncultured bacterium. RNAcentral describes it as "partial 16S ribosomal RNA". It matches the Rfam family "Bacterial small subunit ribosomal RNA", at positions 359 to 774 of the family's 1533-position model. The record is from RNAcentral.
UAUAAUGCGCAAUGGAGGGAACUCUGACGCAUCUACGCCUCGUGAGCGAUGAACGUCUUCUGAACGUAAAGAUCUGUCCGCGGGUAAGAAGUUUUUCGCACAUGACGUUACCAUCGGAGAAUGCCCCGCUUAACUACAUGCCAGCAGCCGUGGUAAUACGCAGGGCGCAAACGUUGUCCGGAAUUAUUGGGUGUAAAGGGUACGUAAGCGGCCUUUUAAGUCAGAUGUGAAAGCCCACGGCUUAACCGAGGGACUGCAUUUGAAACUGGAGGGCUUGAGUAUCGGAGAAGGUAGUGGAAUUCCCAGUGUAACGGUGGAAUGCGUAGAUAUUGGGAGGAACACCAGUGGCGAAGGCGACUACCUGGACGAAAACUGACGCUGAGGCACGAAAGCUAGGGGAGCAAACA